UACGUAGGUGGCAAGCGUUGUCCGGAUUUAUUGGGUUUAAAGGGUGCGUAGGCGGCCCUGUAAGUCAGUGCUGAAAUAUCCUGGCUUAACCGGGAGGGUGGCAUUGAUACUGCGGGGCUAGAGUACAGAUGAGGUAGGCGGAAUUGACGGUGUAGCGGUGAAAUGCUUAGAUAUCGUCAAGAACACCUAUAGCGAAGGCAGCUUACUAGGCUGUAACUGACGCUGAGGCACGAAAGUGUGGGGAUCAAACAGG
RNAcentral lists this ribosomal RNA (253 nucleotides) under uncultured bacterium. RNAcentral describes it as "partial 16S ribosomal RNA". It matches the Rfam family "Bacterial small subunit ribosomal RNA", at positions 524 to 776 of the family's 1533-position model. The record is from RNAcentral.